UACGUAGGCAGCGAGCGUUGUUCGGAGUUACUGGGCGUAAAGCGUGCGUAGGCGGUGUCUUAAGUUUGUUGUGAAAUCUCACGGCUUAACCGGGAGGGUGCGGCGAAUACUGAGAUGCUGGAGUGCCGGAGAGGUAAGCGGAAUUCCUGGUGUAGCGGUGAAAUGCGUAGAUAUCAGGAGGAACACCUGCGGUGUAGACGGCUUACUGGACGGUAACUGACGCUGAGGCACGAAAGCGUGGGUAGCAAACAGG
Molecule: ribosomal RNA, 253 nt
Filed under: uncultured bacterium
Lineage: Bacteria
Description: partial 16S ribosomal RNA
Rfam family: Bacterial small subunit ribosomal RNA
Source: RNAcentral